Long non-coding RNA from Chroicocephalus ridibundus (black-headed gull), 775 nucleotides. RefSeq lists it as uncharacterized. Lineage: Eukaryota; Metazoa; Chordata; Aves; Charadriiformes; Laridae. The record is from RefSeq and is a predicted model, not a curated record. The transcript has 4 exons.
GUUAUGUGAACCGUUACAUGAGCUCAGUGGUUUUUUCUAUGAAUUCCUGUCUCAUUCAGUAUAAAAGUUCCUGAAGGUUCUCCAAGGUUCCUGGCUUUGAAACUCUCCUUCCAAAAACAGGGAAGGGUGAAGACAGACAAGAUUCCCCAAAAAUCAGGCCUGAGGUUGAAUGGAAAGUAAAGAACACAUGUCUACUGCCUUUGCAAAAAAGACUGAAGUGGCUUGCACAGUAACAGCGGUAGAAGAUGGAGCUGUCUGUCAGCAGCCGUCAGUGCAUCCUUGCAGCAAAGGCGGCCAACAGCAUCCAGGGCUGCAUUAUGGAAGAGUGUUGCCAGCAGGUUGAGGGAGGUGAUCCAUCUCCUCUCCUUAGCGCUGGUGAGACACGUCUGGAGUGCUGGGCACAGUGUGGGGCUUUCCAGUCCAAGAGAGGUAUGGACAUAUUAAGGGAUUGAAGCAUCUGUCCUAAGAGAGGGCUCGCUCUCUCUAGCUCAGAGGGCUGUGAUGUUUUAGCCUGGAGAAGAGAAGGCUCAGGUGAGUCUUAUAAAUAUGUAUAAAUAUCUAAUGGGGGGCUGAGUAAGGAAGACAGACCCAGGCUCUUCUCAGUGGUGCCCAGUGACACGAUGAGAAGUAAUGCGCGCACAUUAAAAUACGACAAAUUCCACUUAAGCAUAAAAAACCCCUUUGUUACUGUGGGGGUGGUCAAAUACUAGGACAGGUGGCCAGAGAGGCUGUGGAGGCUCCAUCCUUGGAGAUACUUAAAAACUGACAGGACGUG